Molecule: non-coding RNA, 73 nt
Organism: Conger conger (European conger)
Lineage: Eukaryota; Metazoa; Chordata; Actinopteri; Anguilliformes; Congridae
Source: the annotation of a RefSeq genome assembly
GGUUCCAUAGUGUAGCGGUUAGCAUGUCUGCUUUAUAGGCAGAAGGUCCUGGGUUCAAACCCCAACGGAAUCA